RNAcentral lists this ribosomal RNA (867 nucleotides) under Latilactobacillus curvatus. Its description in RNAcentral is "bacterial SSU rRNA". It matches the Rfam family "Bacterial small subunit ribosomal RNA", at positions 62 to 901 of the family's 1533-position model. The record is from RNAcentral. Lineage: Bacteria; Bacillati; Bacillota; Bacilli; Lactobacillales; Lactobacillaceae.
UUAGAUUGAAGAAGCUUGCUUCUGAUUGAUAACAUUUGAGUGAGUGGCGGACGGGUGAGUAACACGUGGGUAACCUGCCCUAAAGUGGGGGAUAACAUUUGGAAACAGAUGCUAAUACCGCAUAAAACCUAGCACCGCAUGGUGCAAGGUUGAAAGAUGGUUUCGGCUAUCACUUUAGGAUGGACCCGCGGUGCAUUAGUUAGUUGGUGAGGUAAAGGCUCACCAAGACCGUGAUGCAUAGCCGACCUGAGAGGGUAAUCGGCCACACUGGGACUGAGACACGGCCCAGACUCCUACGGGAGGCAGCAGUAGGGAAUCUUCCACAAUGGACGAAAGUCUGAUGGAGCAACGCCGCGUGAGUGAAGAAGGUUUUCGGAUCGUAAAACUCUGUUGUUGGAGAAGAACGUAUUUGAUAGUAACUGAUCAGGUAGUGACGGUAUCCAACCAGAAAGCCACGGCUAACUACGUGCCAGCAGCCGCGGUAAUACGUAGGUGGCAAGCGUUGUCCGGAUUUAUUGGGCGUAAAGCGAGCGCAGGCGGUUUCUUAAGUCUGAUGUGAAAGCCUUCGGCUCAACCGAAGAAGUGCAUCGGAAACUGGGAAACUUGAGUGCAGAAGAGGACAGUGGAACUCCAUGUGUAGCGGUGAAAUGCGUAGAUAUAUGGAAGAACACCAGUGGCGAAGGCGGCUGUCUGGUCUGUAACUGACGCUGAGGCUCGAAAGCAUGGGUAGCAAACAGGAUUAGAUACCCUGGUAGUCCAUGCCGUAAACGAUGAGUGCUAGGUGUUGGAGGGUUUCCGCCCUUCAGUGCCGCAGCUAACGCAUUAAGCACUCCGCUUGCUGGGGAGUACGACCGCAAGGUUGAAACU